GGGGUCGACUGGUUUAGACAGCAAGCCGAAUUAGUAGAUAAGCAUGUCGUGAAACGUUAUGCACUCACGCUAAACAGACAUUUCAACUUUUUAACUGGCAACAACAAUUACGCUUUAGCGGCCUAAUCGACUGAAUUAUAGUAAGUCUUGGCGUUAUCCCUACAAGGUAGGGACGUUAAAUGUCCUACGGACGCCCGCUCACCGUGGCUUCCGAAUCUAGGGCACAGAAAUACGGAGAUAGAAUAAAAGGAGUUCCGACUUUUAUUCGAAAUUUUGGAACUAAGGUGUUAGCCAGGGUGUCUUUACCCAAGCUGCACACGAAAAUUAAAGAAAAGACUAAACAUGUAGAAGGUUUAUUACUUCCUUGUUUGGACGCGGGUUCGAAUCCCGCCGACUCCACUA
RNAcentral lists this transfer-messenger RNA (402 nucleotides) under Profundicola chukchiensis. It matches the Rfam family "transfer-messenger RNA". From Rfam's summary of the family: Bacterial tmRNA, also known as 10Sa RNA or SsrA, is named for its dual tRNA and mRNA-like properties. Its role is to liberate the mRNA from a stalled ribosome. To accomplish this part of the tmRNA is used as a reading frame that ends in a translation stop signal. Lineage: Bacteria; Pseudomonadati; Bacteroidota; Flavobacteriia; Flavobacteriales; Weeksellaceae. The record is from Rfam by way of RNAcentral.